Molecule: non-coding RNA, 812 nt
Organism: Pelodiscus sinensis (Chinese soft-shelled turtle)
Lineage: Eukaryota; Metazoa; Chordata; Testudines; Trionychidae
Source: RefSeq, a predicted model, not a curated record
UUGUGGUGCCUGCAGGGGUGGGGCCGUGACUGCCCAGGGCAGAUUUGAACCUGGGAUGUCUGGAGCUUAGCUAGGAGCCUCUAUAGCUCGAGCUAGAAAGGCAGCUGGUUUUCCUGUUCUUGCCUGUUGCUGUAAGUGGUCCAAGUGCCACUACAUGGGCCAGCAAACCCCAGUAGGUGUGCGGGUGACGUGGACACUGGUUCAGGGGUUGUCACCUGCACUGAAGAUGAUUUUCUGAGGCGGCGGAUGAUGUGGCAGUAAAAUCCCCUGCAGUCUGUCCACACUACAGCAGCCUCCCUGGAUACCAUGAGCAAUGACCCAAGAAAAGACCCAGCUACGAUUGUAGCCUCUGUGCUUGGCAGGGGUUUGGGAUAGCAAGGCGAGCAGGUGACCACGAUUCAGCCCUUCAUGCCACCAAGCAGAGUGGGGCCAUCGAUACGGCCUCAUCGGUGUCCAGCUUCGGAGCCAUUUAACCCAUCUGCCUCCCCUGCACCUUGACUCGUCCACGUAGCCGAGAGCCAUAUCCGGACAGCUUUUAUCAGCCGCUUCGGGCGAGAUGGCCGUAUUGGCCACAGCUGCCAGGACACUCCCGCACGCUCCUCGGCACGUCUGCGCUUCCAAAAACUCCAUCUUGUCAGCCUCUGACCACCUGGUUUGUUUUCAGAUUGAACAGUUGAGUCAUAAUAUGUUUGUUUAUUUCAACAACUGUAUUCAUUGCAUAGGAAAUGAGCCAAUAUGUCUGUGAUGGGCAGAGUGAAAUCUGCCAUGUUUACAGUUGCUUUUUGCCAUCUCACCACCAAAUUUUACAAUAU